Molecule: ribosomal RNA, 433 nt
Filed under: uncultured bacterium
Lineage: Bacteria
Description: partial 16S ribosomal RNA
Rfam family: Bacterial small subunit ribosomal RNA
Source: RNAcentral
AACGAACGCUGGCGGCAUGCCUAACACAUGCAAGUCGAACGAGACCUUCGGGUCUAGUGGCGCACGGGUGCGUAACGCGUGGGAACCUGCCCUUAGGUUCGGAAUAACUCCCCGUAAGGGGUGCUAAUACCGGAUAAUGUCUUCGGACCAAAGAUUUAUCGCCUUUGGAUGGGCUCGCGUUGGAUUAGCUGGUUGGUAGGGUAAAAGCCUACCAAGGCGACGAUCCAUAGCUGGUCUGAGAGGAUGAUCAGCCACACUGGGACUGAGACACGGCCCAGACUGCGACGGGAGGCAGCAGUGGGGAAUAUUGGACGAGGGGCGAAAGCCUGAUCCAGCAAUGCCGCGUGAGUGAUGAAGGCCUUAGGGUUGUAAAGCUCUUUUACCCGGGAUGAGAAUGACAGUAACGGGAGAAUAAGCACCGGCUAACUCCGUG